Molecule: long non-coding RNA, 2512 nt
Filed under: Homo sapiens (human)
Lineage: Eukaryota; Metazoa; Chordata; Mammalia; Primates; Hominidae
Description: novel transcript, antisense to ERVK3-1
Source: RNAcentral
GUAGUUGACGUUGGUCAGCACGGAGGCCACAGGAUCCCAGCCCGGCCUUUGUGGGACUGAGGUGGCGCUGAGUGGGAGAGCAGCAGGCGAUGCGCGAAAGGCGGGACUUGGAGAUAAAUACUGAGCACCCACAACAGGCAGCCAGCACCACUGCAGAUUGGAUACUGCAAUGAUGAUAAGCAUGGCCUGCCUUUAUGGAGGUUCUGGAUGUUCCUGUGGAUAACCUCAAGGAGCACGGGACCUGGGACAUGACUGCCCCCAGCAUUCCUUCUGGCGGCAGACAGAGUUUGUCAGUUCGCCAACAUCCUGCUUUCAUGAGAACAGUUUGCUGUUUGCUCACAGAGCCUCCAGUGGUAUACUGAGUUGGUCACGACCCUCAUUCCUUCGGCCUCCAACAUCUCCCCUUUUGUUUUUGCAUUAAUUGAAUAAAGAUGACGUCACUGAGGUAAGGGCGGGUUAAAGCCUGUCCUAUACCAAGCAAGUUGUGCAGCCAACUGGGGGACUGAAUCCCAGUGUGAUGUGAUGAAGAGGUGUUGAAGGUCCACCACCAGUGCCAGUGAAGUUUGUGCCAAGAGAUUCCGCUGGCUCAUGGCUCGUACUGGAGGUAACAGGCCCACGGUUGAAUACCAUGGAUCCCUCCGGUCUCCCGUUCCAUGGUCACACACACCUGGAGGGCACCCACACGGUUUGUCCAUCUCCUGUAAAAACACAAGCAUACCCUCGUCCCCACGUCAGCAAAUCCACCGGACCUUUCCAUUGUCCUUCUUCUGGGGAUUUCCAUAACACUUUUGGAUAAACUUGCCUCUUUUCCUCUAGCAGUUGCCAGUGUCGUUCUGCUGGGGUCUUGCCAUCCGUACCAGGAGUCAAACAAUUUAAAGUAAACAAGGCUAAAUGUAAUUUUGUUUGAAGUGGUAAUUGGUCCCCUAUUCUCCCUUUUUGUUUUUUCAGCAUGCGUUGUAGUGUUUGAUGUACCCGCUCAAUAAUGCCUGGCCCUCAGGGAUUGUAUGGAAUUCCUGUUUUAUGAUUGAUUGCCCACAAUUGUAAAAAAUUGGGAAAGCAUGACUAACAUAAGCGAGUCCACUGUCAGUUUUAAAUUGUUUAGGGACCCCCAUAUGGGCAAAUGACGACAGACAGUAUCGUCAGACAUGACCAGCUGUUUCCCCAGUUUGGCAUGUGGCAUGUAACAUAUGGGAGUAAGUGUCUAUAUUACAUGAACAUAGCGGAGUUAGCCAAAGGCUGCUAUAUAUAUGUAACAUCCAUCUGCCAGAUUUCAUUUGGAGCCAAGCCUCGUGGGUUGCAUCCUUCCACAGGUGCAACACCAGGGACAUGCUGGCAAGUGGGGCAGGCUUGCACAAUAACUCAAGCCUGGCUGCGAGGCAGAUGAAACAUACGAGUAAGGGCAAGUUGUUCUGAUGCAGUAAAGCAUGGGAAGCUUGGGCUUGUUGAAAUAUAGAACUGAUGAAUUUAUCUGCUCUAUCAUUACCUAGAGAUAGUGGCCCCAGGAAGUUGUGUGUGAGAUCGGAUAUGAGAAAUAUGAAAAGGGGCAGCAUGAGAGCGAACAGCUUUUUGGAGUCUCAGAAAUAGGUUAAGCAGUUCUGGUUUUAAGGUGCUCUUGUGUGGGCGGCAAGCCAUCCAGGCGCCGAAGCAAGAGACAGAGGACACGGGCUGUUCCAGUAUAAUAAAAUAUAAAACAAGAAUAGUUAUACCAGAUAUAGAUCUUAGAUAUGAUUAUAUAUGAAUAUCAUUAAUCAUUAGUUUGUAGCAAUUACUUUUUAUUCCAAUAUUACAAUAAUCCUUGCUCUAUAAUCAUAGCCUAGGAAAAACCAGGCCAUACAGAGAUAGGAGCUGAGGGGACAUAGUGAGGUGUGACCAGAAGACAAGAGUGCGAGCCUUCUGUUAUGCCCAGACAGGGCCACCAGAGGGCUCCUUGGUCUAGUGGUGACGCCAGCGUUUGGGAAGACCGUGGUCUAGCGGUAGCGAAAAGUGUCAAGGAACAACACCCGCUACUUAGCAGACCGGGAAAGGGUGGGGGGCGGUCUCCCUUUCCCUGGGGGAGGUUAGAGAAGACUCUGCUCCUCCACCUCUUGUGGAGGGCCUGACAUUAGUCAGGCUCGCCCACAGUUAUCCGGAGGCCUAACCGUCUCCCUGUGAUUCUGUGCUUCAGUGGUCACGCUCCUAGUCCGCCUUCAUGUUCCAUCCUGUACACCUGGCUCUGCCUUCUAGAUAGCAGUAGUAAAUUAGUGAAAGUACUAAUAGUCCCUGAUAUGCAGAAAUAAUGGCGUAAGCUGUCUUUCUCUCUGUCUCCUCUCCCUCUCUGCCUCGGCUGCCAGGCAGGGAAGGGCCCCCUGACCAGUGGACACAUGACCCACGUGACCUUACCUAUCAUUGGAGAUGACUCACACUCUUUACCCUGCCCCUUUUGCUUUGUAUCCAAUAAAUAAGAGCGCAGCCAGACAUUCGGGGCCACUACCGGUCUCCGCGCAUUGGUGGUAGUGGUCCCCCAGGCCCAGCU